Pelobates cultripes (western spadefoot toad) is the source of this 303-nucleotide non-coding RNA. The record is from the annotation of a GenBank genome assembly. Lineage: Eukaryota; Metazoa; Chordata; Amphibia; Anura; Pelobatidae.
CGCUGUACUUGGUGAUGUGAGGCCAGGGCCAUCUUUAACAAGGGGCAAACGGGGCAGCUGCCUCGGGCCCAGUUGCUCCAGGGGGGCCCAAAGCAGCUGUCCCGUGGGCCCCCUGCCCGCAGCCAGGACUGAACAGCCCACCAGGAUACUGAGAAAUAUCCCAGUGGGCUGCGGCAAGUGAAGUAAUCAGGGCCCCCCGGCCCUUUAAUUGAGCACCCGACCGGGCCCCUGUCUGUAUGCCUGCUGGGAGGAAGUGAGGCGAGAUCACUUCCUCCCAAGUAACAGAGUGCCGCUGGGGAGGAG